AUGCUUACUUUGGCAGCACUUAUAGCAAAACUGAUAUCAUACAGAGAUUACCAUGGCCCCUACACAAGGAUUACAUGCAAAUUCAUUGAGUAUUCCAUAUUGUU
Manis pentadactyla (Chinese pangolin) is the source of this 104-nucleotide small nuclear RNA. The record is from RefSeq and is a predicted model, not a curated record. NCBI's taxonomy places the organism in Eukaryota, Metazoa, Chordata, Mammalia, Pholidota, Manidae.